This is a non-coding RNA of Chrysemys picta bellii (western painted turtle), 364 nucleotides long. The record is from RefSeq and is a predicted model, not a curated record. Lineage: Eukaryota; Metazoa; Chordata; Testudines; Emydidae.
GAGACAGUGUGAAGGGCUUGGCUCGGUCCCUCCAGACAAGUGCGUCUUGAGGGAGCCUGGCUGGGGCAGGCCCUGGCCUGGCUGAUCAUGCCAUUCCCAAGGGGCCAGAAUGAUUCCUGGCUCUGGGACUCAGCCCGGCAGACACAGUUGCUUCCCAGCAAGGCUGCUUGUUAAUGUCAUGAGCCAAAAAUGAGAGAAUGCAGUGUGGAUUAGCAGAUAUAGAUAACCAUCGCCAUCUGAGAGGAACAGGUAGAGCCUCUGGGACGAUUGAAAAUGGGCCCAUCCCUAGACCGCCGGAGUCCAGUGGAGAUGAAUGAGCCUCCUCAUGAUGGGUCCCCUCAAUGCACAUUUUGGGGGAAGGAGG